Molecule: ribosomal RNA, 458 nt
Filed under: Brachyscelus crusculum
Lineage: Eukaryota; Metazoa; Arthropoda; Malacostraca; Amphipoda; Brachyscelidae
Description: SSU rRNA
Source: RNAcentral
AUGCAUGUCUAAGUACAGCUCGGUGGAGCAAUCUACCGGGCGAAACCGCGGACGGCUCAUUAAAUCAGUCGUUGUCUAAAUGGGCGAAAGUUACCUUUUGGAUAACUGUGGAAAAUCCAGAGCUAAUACAUGCGAUUUACGAGUCCUGAGCUAAAGCCUAUUUUCCGUUCGCGGGAUUUCGGUACUAACUCGGGAUGCUUUUAUUAGACCGAGGCGCGCGCAUACUCGGUUUAGGCUUUCGAAUUCGUUUGGGAGCCGGCCGUUUGUGUGUCGACGUGUAAGCGCUAAAUGGUGAACCCUGGAUAACACKUGAUGAGCGUGCCUUUCGGCACGCCGCCUACUUACGAGUGACUGCCCUAUCAGCUAGUAACGUAUGUUAUACGCGAACGCUGGCUAUAACGGGUAACGGGGAAUCAGAGUUCGAUUCCGGAGAGGCAGCCUGAGAAACGGCUACCACG